CCUACGGGAGGCAGCAGUAGGGAAUAUUGCUCAAUGGGGGAAACCCUGAUGCAGCAACGCCGCGUGGAGGAUGAAGGUUUUAGGAUUGUAAACUCCUUUUGUUAGAGAAGAUUAUGACGGUAUCUAUCGAAUAAGCACCGGCUAACUCCGUGCCAGCAGCCGCGGUAAUACGGAGGGUGCAAGCGUUAAUCGGAAUCACUGGGCGUAAAGAGUGCGUAGGCGGGGGAAUAAGGCAGAUGUGAAAUCCUGUAGCUUAACUAAAGAAUUGCAUUUGAAACUGGUACACUGGAGUGUGGGAGAGGGAGGUGGAAUUCCUGGUGUAGGGGUGAAAUGCGUAGAGAUCAAGAGGAAUACUCAUUGCGAAGGCGACCUCCUGGAAAAUUACUGACGCUGAGGCACGAAAGCGUGGGGAGCAAACAGGAUUAGAUACCCGGGUAGUC
This 440-nucleotide ribosomal RNA is filed under the name uncultured bacterium. RNAcentral describes it as "partial 16S ribosomal RNA". It matches the Rfam family "Bacterial small subunit ribosomal RNA", at positions 338 to 795 of the family's 1533-position model. The record is from RNAcentral.